AGUGGGAUAGCUGGGUCAAAUGGUGGUUUCGUUCCCAGUUUUCUGAGGAUUCUCCAAACUGCUUUCCAUAGUGGUUGCACCAAUUUGCAGUCCCACCAGCAAU
Molecule: microRNA precursor, 103 nt
Filed under: Marmota monax (woodchuck)
Lineage: Eukaryota; Metazoa; Chordata; Mammalia; Rodentia; Sciuridae
Source: RNAcentral